This 391-nucleotide ribosomal RNA is filed under the name Escherichia coli. RNAcentral's name for it is "bacterial SSU rRNA". It matches the Rfam family "Bacterial small subunit ribosomal RNA", at positions 1 to 388 of the family's 1533-position model. The record is from RNAcentral. Lineage: Bacteria; Pseudomonadati; Pseudomonadota; Gammaproteobacteria; Enterobacterales; Enterobacteriaceae.
AAAUUGAAGAGUUUGAUCAUGGCUCAGAUUGAACGCUGGCGGCAGGCCUAACACAUGCAAGUCGAACGGUAACAGGAAGCAGCUUGCUGCUUCGCUGACGAGUGGCGGACGGGUGAGUAAUGUCUGGGAAACUGCCUGAUGGAGGGGGAUAACUACUGGAAACGGUAGCUAAUACCGCAUAACGUCGCAAGACCAAAGAGGGGGACCUUCGGGCCUCUUGCCAUCGGAUGUGCCCAGAUGGGAUUAGCUAGUAGGUGGGGUAACGGCUCACCUAGGCGACGAUCCCUAGCUGGUCUGAGAGGAUGACCAGCCACACUGGAACUGAGACACGGUCCAGACUCCUACGGGAGGCAGCAGUGGGGAAUAUUGCACAAUGGGCGCAAGCCUGAUG